GAUGAACGCUAGCGACAGGCCUAACACAUGCAAGUCGAGGGGCAGCACAAGGAGCAAUCUGAGGUGGCGACCGGCGCACGGGUGAGUAACACGUAUGCAACCUACCUGUAAGAGGGGAAUAACCCGUUGAAAAACGGACUAAUACCGCAUAACACUGUAGAACCGCAUGGUUUGACAGUUAAACAUUUAUGGCUUACAGAUGGGCAUGCGCAUGAUUAGCUAGUUGGUGAGGUAACGGCUCACCAAGGCAACGAUCAUUAGGGGUUCUGAGAGGAAGGUCCCCCACACUGGUACUGAGACACGGACCAGACUCCUACGGGAGGCAGCAGUGAGGAAUAUUGGUCAAUGGGCGAGAGCCUGAACCAGCCAAGUCGCGUGAAGGAUGAAGGUUUAUGAAUUGUAAACUUCUUUGCAGGGGAAUAAAGUGUCCGACGUGUCGGAUUUUGUAUGUACUCUGCGAAUAAGGAUCGGCUAACUCCGUGCCAGCAGCCG
Molecule: ribosomal RNA, 492 nt
Filed under: uncultured bacterium
Lineage: Bacteria
Description: bacterial SSU rRNA
Rfam family: Bacterial small subunit ribosomal RNA
Source: RNAcentral